Leptopilina boulardi is the source of this 852-nucleotide long non-coding RNA. RefSeq lists it as uncharacterized. NCBI's taxonomy places the organism in Eukaryota, Metazoa, Arthropoda, Insecta, Hymenoptera, Figitidae. The record is from RefSeq and is a predicted model, not a curated record. The transcript is spliced from 4 exons.
UGUUUCGAGUGUUGUUGAUAACAUCUAAUAAUAUCGUGAUUUUUCUCGUCAACAUUUUCCUUAAAGUAAUUAUACUAUUUGCUGUUCAUAUAAUAAAUUAAGAAAUAUUUUUGGAAAUAACAAUUAAUAAUUAAGAAAAUAAAAAUUAAAUACGUUUCGACUGUUAUACGACUUGACUACAAUCAUUGCUGUGUGAAAACAAUUGAUCAAGAAGAAAUUGUUAGAAAUUUUCAGUCUUUUGUUUGUGUCAGUAAAUAUAUACGCGAAUAAUUUGUUUUUUUUUAGUUCUUGGUGAUUGAUUUAAAGGUUGGUUUGAUGUCGAAUAAAAAUCAGAAGGUUAUUUAAGAGACGAAGUGAUCGCCACAUUCUUUGGUCGUGCGUUGAUGAAGAAAUGUAAACACCGAGGAACUUCUAAUAGCUACAAUUUUCUCGGAGGGAAAUCAUGAGUUCUGAAAUUGUUCCUGGAGGAGAUCAUAUACGGCCUGACAAUAAGUGCAGUUUAAUAUUCCAUGUCUAUAUGACUUACUGAAGGACAGGAAGGAGGAUAAUAAGGAGGAUGAAGAAAAGCGGUCCCUGCAUAUUGACGUACUAUUCAAAAUAAUGUCCUUUUUGAAGAGUAUGGCAGUAUAGCUCUCGGCCUCUGCAGAAGUGCAAGCAAGAAUGAGGGAUCUUCGAGAGUGGCCCCGAAAUGAUAAUAAUUCAGCCAUCGCUGCGAUGAGGAAAUCCGCGAUCGGUAUAAGAUGAAAGUAUAUUUUUCGAGUUGAUCAACUGUAUCUAUAAGUAAGAUUACUCUUUCAAUAAUAAUUAAUAUAUCACAUGGAACAUGAAAAUAUUAGGUGUGUUCACCCAGAG